CGCCGAAAAUGUCCGGGGCUCAAACUUACCACCGAAGCUACGGGCUUGCGUAAGCAAGCGGUAGGGGAGCGUCGUAAUCGGGCUGAAGUCGUACCGUAAGGAGCGGUGGACUGAUUACGAGUGAGAAUGUUGGCAUUAGUAGCGAGAUGUAGGUGAGAAUCCUACAGGCCGAAUAUCUAAGGUUUCCUCAGGAAGGCUCGUCCGCUGAGGGUUAGUCGGGACCUAAGCCGAGGCCGAAAGGCGUAGGCGAUGGACAAUCGGUUGAUAUUCCGAUACCACUACCAUCGUUAUUAUCGAGGGUGUGACGGAGAAGGAUAGUGUGUGCUAGCGAUUGGAAAUGCUAGUCUAAGCGUUUAGGGAGUUACGGUAGGCAAAUCCGCUGUAACAAUGCUGAGGCGUGAUGGGGAAGGCCAUUGAGACCGAAGUACAUGAUUCCAUGCUUCCAAGAAAAGCAUCUAGAGAGAGAAGUAGUGCCCGUACCGCAAACCGACACAGGUAGAUGAGGAGAGAAUCCUAAGGCCGGCGGAAGAAUUGCAGUUAAGGAACUAGGCAAAUUGACCCCGUAAGUUCGCGAGAA
Molecule: ribosomal RNA, 577 nt
Filed under: bacterium
Lineage: Bacteria
Description: partial 23S ribosomal RNA
Rfam family: Bacterial large subunit ribosomal RNA
Source: RNAcentral